GGAGGGAUUCUAGCUCAGAGGCAGAGUGUCUGCUUGGCAUACCUAGGGUCCCAAGUUCAAUCCCUAGUCUCUCCA
RNAcentral lists this transfer RNA (75 nucleotides) under Sphaerodactylus townsendi. Its description in RNAcentral is "tRNA-Ala". The record is from RNAcentral. Lineage: Eukaryota; Metazoa; Chordata; Lepidosauria; Squamata; Sphaerodactylidae.